GGACGUAAUUAGUAUCGAACAUUUCAGACAACGAGGGGCUUAUCUCUAUGAGUUUAUUUAUCGCAAGAGUAAGAACAUAACAUAACCGUAAAUUCCAAGAAAGUUCAGUCUGAGCGAAGGAAAAUCCUCUUUAAAGCAGCUGCAACGAUCACAAUGUCAAUUUCAAAUUGUCCUCCGCGUGGAAGAGGCUCGCGUAGCAACGGUUUCGCGUGAAAUACGUCUGUCUCCGGUAGCACCAGUCCUCGCUUGCCUCUCGGACCCAGCAAGAUCCACCAGGUGAAGCCUUCCUCUCUUCACCGUAUUCUCAGUCUUACUGCUCUGUUCGUUAAUGGCCAGCGUUUCCAAGGAUAACGUCAA
Molecule: long non-coding RNA, 357 nt
Organism: Bombus pyrosoma
Lineage: Eukaryota; Metazoa; Arthropoda; Insecta; Hymenoptera; Apidae
Exons: 3
Source: RefSeq, a predicted model, not a curated record